GCAUGGUUCCAAAAAAAAAAAAAAGAAACUUAUAUAUAUUUCAUAGUGGUAUCUGCUCCCACUGAUGUUAGUAACCAAUAUGGGAUCUUUCUAUUUUAUUUAUUCAACUGUUAUUAGUUGGAUCACUGUAAUCCUUUCUCAUCAUUUCCCCCCAGACUCCCGCGCAAACAUUAUCUUUGACGUGACUAAUUCCUCAAAGUUCUGCUUUUUGAACACCCUGUUAGUUAGACUUGUCUUAAUUAAUCACUGGAGUUAUCUGCGAUGAGUGGAUUAAGUCUCCCUAUCUAGAUUUCCACUCUAACUCCAGGAUUUAGACUGCCCAGAUCCUUCACGGGAAAAAAAAACUAUGCCUAAAAAAAAACACUAUUGUCGUGGAGAGAAACCACACGUCUGAUUCACGAGCAUAAUUAAAGCUUGCCUCUAUAAAACAAGAUAAUUAUAAGAAAUCUGUAAAUCCAUAUAAUGAAUCAGCAUCGCUGUAAUAUUUUGCUCGUCUUCUCCAAGGGGAAGUAGGUUUUAUUUAAAAGGAAUGCUCAAAUUCACACCAUUAGAAUACCCAUGACCUUUGUUAUUAUACAUUCUCAUACAUAUACCAUGGCAAGGUAAUCCUUUUCCGUUAGUGUUGAAAGGUUCCAGUGGCACUUUUUCUUUUUUCAGCACAGACUUCGCAUUUUCGUUGGAUAUUUACAUUUGGCUUGUUUUCUUCUUUUAUUCUUGUAAUGAAGUGUCUCUCCAAAAGUCUGGCUUUUGAGCUUGAACUACCAAGUUUUUGAUCUGUGAUCUCAACUCCGGCUUCUUCAACCAGUUUUUCCAUAAUGACAAGAUGAUAGUCUCGGAGUGACAGUUUGGAUGUUGGAUUUAAUUUAUUAUAAAUUAUAUGAGAAUUGACUAUUGUCAGGCCAAAGAUGUGAAAGAAAGCUUUUUCCACCAUUUCAUACUUCUCCGCUGAAAAGAGUAGUAAGAGAGGAGCUGGUCACUUCUGUCAACACCAGCCUUGUGCUUGUUGUAGUCCAAUACUGCAGCUGGUUUCAUGGUGAGAGGUUGGUCAGAUUUCCUGGCUUUCUUGGUUACAGGUAUCAUGGCAUGAUCAUGUGCUGUGGAGACCAUGAAAACGUCCCUAGUAUCAUGCCAUUUGAAUGCCAAAAGAGGACAUUUCAUUCUGUAAAUUACCUCUCCUUUUUUCAAUUUUUUGGAAAAUGUAUUUUUUGGCAAGCCUCUUCUAUUUUUCUUUAUUGUUCCUACAGAUUGGGUAUUGUUUCUCCAGAGAAAUUGAAAAAGUGUGGUAGAGGAGAACCAUCUGUCAAAGUAUGAGGGCCAUCCAAUAAAUAAGUUCCCUAUUUUUUAACAAAUAAACCACAUUAUUUACAAUUAUGCAGUUAUUUUAUUUUCAUUAUACAACUCAUAGACUACUUCUCUAAAUAAUCACCAUUUCUGUCCAAACAUUUUUGGUACCGUUGUAGCAAUUUUUAGAUACCACUGUUGUACCAAGCCGUGUCCUGUCUUCGUAGCAAGUGGUUCGCCUCCGCCUGCACUUCGUCAUCAUUCGCAAAGUGCUUGCCUCCAAGGUGCCACUUGAGUCCUGGAUAAAGAUGGAAGUCGCUUGGGGCAAGUUCCGGAGAAUAAGGUGGAUGUGUGAAAAUUUCCCAUUUGAAGUUUUCCAUAGCCAUAACUUUGCCUGCAGAGAUUGUGACCUUCGCCUUUUUGGUGCACUUUCCUCAGGCUUCUUCCACACCAUGCUUUGUCGUUUUGUUUCUGGAGUUGAAUGAUGCACCCAGCUUUCAUCUCCAGUGACAAUACGGCAAAACAGUUGAUCUCUAUCUCUUUGAUGCAUUUCCAGGAAAGCUCGGGCUGCCUCCAUCCGUUGUUGCUUGUGAUUUUCCAAGAGAAAACGCGGGACCCAUCUUGCGCAGACUUUGAGAGAAUUCAAAACAUCUGACAUGAUUGUUCCAAUCGAAGAGCGUCUAAUUUCGAUUCCAGGAGGUAGUCGAAUCAUUAUUUCGUCAAUAGUGACGCGGCGAUCUACUUCCACCACAUUCCGAACAGCAGCAAACGGCUGCAUUGUCCGUAGCAGUAACGGGGCUGCCGCUUCGCUCGUCAUCAUGCACGUUUUGCCGUCCUUCUAAGAACCAUGAACGUCAUCGGCGAACCAUUUGGAUGCUCAUACAUUCUUCACCAUACACUGACACUGAAUUGCGAUGAAUAUUGACCGCAGUUUAAUUUUUCGCCGUGAAAAAACGAAUUACAGAACGGAGUUCGCAAGUGGACACGUUCACCAGUGGUAGCUCGAUGGAAACUGAAGCGCUACGGACUUGCGAGGUCGAGUAGCGUGAUUUUGAAGGUCACCAGCUUCCAACGCAUCCUAGUGACCAUUUAUUCUAUACUAACUAAUUUUUACAACGUUUCGUUCGCAGAAAAAAAAUAGGGAAACUUAUUUAUUGGAUGGCCCUCGUAUAUAACAUGUCCUCUAUUGAAGUAUGGAGCCGCUAUCCUUUCCACCAGUUUUAAGGUCGAAUUGUAGUCUGCACCUUGACCAGGCUGCUUCCCCGUGUACACUUCUAUGUUGCAGGCAUAUCCUGAACUUGAUUCACAAAGUUCAAAUAUCUUGAUCCCAUAUUUGUGUGGCUUUCCUUUGAUAUAUAUUCUGAACCGUAUUCUUCCUCUAAAAGGACAUAUAGCUUCGUCAAUAGUCAAAGGUUGGCAGGGAUAGUAAUAUGUUUUGAAUUUGUGGACCAGAGGAUCAAGGAAUGUCCUAAUUUUAUGGAGAGGAUCAUGGCCUGGUUGACCAAAAGCCACAUAGGAAGCGUUGUCAUUCAGGUGAAGCAUGGAGAGAAUGGCUUCAAACCGUGGUCUGAUCAUCUCCACAUCUCUGCAGUAAGUUGUCCUAAGUUCACUGCGGGUUGACCAAUAAUCUUUCAAUCUGGUCUUUACAACAAGGCUCAUGUGAAUUAUUAUAGCCAUAAAUAUCUUGAGCUCAGACACAGAAACAGCUUUCCACAUUUCUAAAUGACUCCUAGGAUUCAAAGGACCCUUUUUUCUUUCUCUGUCUAUGGUUGCCCUAGCAUAGCGGUUAGUCUCAAGUUUCAGAUUACCAAAAAAAUCCUCAUCAAUAAAUUUUUUGAAUAUCUGGUAAGGAGAGUUGGGUUCUGGAAAUAACUCGGCCCUUGGUCCAGGUUGGGCAGUAAACAGAGGUCUGGGUAUCGUGGAUGUAGUAGUUUCAAUCCAGUCAUCACUUACCAGAGGAGAUAUUGUUGUUGCAGGAGCCUCUUCAUCUCUUGGUCCCUCAAAAUAUAUUUCUGUUGAAUCCGAAUCAAUAUCUUCAUCAGAGUUAGCAUGGAGUGUGAUAUCUGGAUCCUCAAAAGAAUCAUCUAAUUCUGAUCCAGAAUCAAAAAGAUGGGGGUCAUAAAUCUCCCACUCUGGAGAUGGGCAAGAGGAGAUAACUUUGGAUGUACUGGGCUGAUCAGGAUUCAUUUUUAUCCAAAAAUGUCUAUUUAAAAUAUUAGAAACUUCAAAUAAAAAUUUUAAGCAAAAAAAAAAACGUGACAAGAAGAAGCGCGCAAAGUACAAUUAGCAAAUGACGGCAGAUUAAAAAUAGGUCAGUAGAGGUUGGGAGAGGAGGAAACUCAAUUUAAUUGGUCAGCCAUCCACCCUAUCAUGUGGCAAAGUGGUGAACGACCUUGAGGCAUGUUUAAACUUGCAGGAGGGCAAGUGGCCACGGGACGUAGCGCGCGCUAUGAUUUUAUACCGAUUUUUAAGAAAGUAGGACGUUAAUAUACGUCCUGCGGGCACUGUGCCAUUUUCGCGAGGACGUUAAUUGACGGAUAGGAAUUGGAAAGAUAAAAUAACGCAAACACUAAGCAUAAAAUAUUUCUUUAACACUUGAAAUUAGAAUUAAAAUAAGGUGCACACUAAAGCAUAAAAUAUUUCUUUACUCGUGAAAUUGCAAAGUUAAAUUAACGUAUACACUAAAGCGUAAAAUAUUUCUUUAACACGUGAAAUUGAAAAGGUUAAAAUAGCGCAUACACUAAAGCAUAAAAUAUUUCUUUAGCACGUGGAAUUGAAAGGUUAAAAUAAGGCAUACACUAAAGCAUAAAAUAUUUCUUUAACACUUGAAAUUAGAAUUAGGAUAAGGUACACACUAAAGCAUUAAAUAUUUCUUUAACAUGUGAAAUUGGAAAGAUAAGAUAACGCAUACACUAAGCAUAAAAUAUUUCUUUAACACUUGAAAUUAGAAUUAAAAUAAGGUGCACACUAAAGCAUAAAAUAUUUCUUUAGCACGUGAAAUAAAAAAGGCUAAAAUAACGCAUAUACUAAAGCAUAAAUAUUUCUUUAACACUUGAAAUUAGAAUUAAAAUAAGGUACACACUAAAGUAUUAGAUAUUUCUUCAACACGUGAAAUUGAAAAGCUAAAAUAACGCAUAUACUAAAACAUAAAUAUUUCUUUAACACUUGAAAUUAGAAUUAAAAUAAGGUACACACUAAAGCAUUAAAUAUUGCUUUAACACGUGAAAUUGAAAAGCUAAAAUAACGCAUAUACUGUUAGGUUAUUCAGUGAUUGAAUAUAUCAUCAUCACAAGUUAAUGUUUUGGUUCAUGUAGGAUAUGUAAAAUAACAUAUUACAAUAGUGGCCAUUCAAUAAAGUUACGUCUUCAUGAUAGGUUAGUGAUUCGUUGUUUUGUACAAGACACUAACGAAUCAAACAUGGUGUCAGAAAAGUGAUUUGAAAACAAACGAAAAAAAAUAUCACGGUAAGUUCAAUUUUACGUUAAGACUAAUAAAAUAAUAAAUAAGCCUUAUCGUAUAUUAAAUAGACAAAAAAAUAUGUAUUUACAAAUACCGCUGUGUGGAAUGGUGGAGAUCCAUUAUUCCGGACGCAGCCCAGACAGCUCAAGUGUCGACUGUAAACACGGCGGGGCCAGCCGCCAACAUAAACAUCAGAACACGGCUUGGUUUUGCUACCCACCAGUCGCGUGUUUUCCUCUGUCCUCUUAAUAUGUAUUAAAUAAAGUUAGUUAGAAGGGGAUUUUUACCCCCUCCUUUCUGCUAUUUAGUGAUCUUAUUUAAAUCCUUGCAACAGCCCACAAAGAAUCAUCACAGCGAAUUCUUCUACCGAAUUUCGCUCAGUGUUUUGUGAACCGACUACCCUACAUUUCUACACAAAGU
Molecule: non-coding RNA, 5160 nt
Organism: Cordylochernes scorpioides
Lineage: Eukaryota; Metazoa; Arthropoda; Arachnida; Pseudoscorpiones; Chernetidae
Source: the annotation of a GenBank genome assembly